UACGGGGGGGGCAAGCGUUGUUCGGAAUUACUGGGCGUAAAGGGUGCGUAGGUGGCGCCGUAAGUCGGGUGUGAAAUUUCGGAGCUUAACUCCGAAACUGCAUUCGAUACUGCGGUGCUUGAGGACUGGAGAGGAGACUGGAAUUCAUGGUGUAGCAGUGAAAUGCGUAGAGAUCAUGAGGAAGACCAGUGGCGAAGGCGGGGCUCUGGACAGUUCCUGACACUGAGGCACGAAGGCCAGGGGAGCAAACGGG
This 253-nucleotide ribosomal RNA is filed under the name uncultured bacterium. RNAcentral describes it as "partial 16S ribosomal RNA". It matches the Rfam family "Bacterial small subunit ribosomal RNA", at positions 524 to 776 of the family's 1533-position model. The record is from RNAcentral.